RNAcentral lists this ribosomal RNA (433 nucleotides) under uncultured bacterium. RNAcentral describes it as "partial 16S ribosomal RNA". It matches the Rfam family "Bacterial small subunit ribosomal RNA", at positions 29 to 507 of the family's 1533-position model. The record is from RNAcentral.
AACGAACGCUGGCGGCAUGCCUAACACAUGCAAGUCGAACGAGACCUUCGGGUCUCGUGGCGCACGGGUGCGUAACGCGUGGGAAUCUACCCUCAGGUUCGGAAUAACUCAGAGAAAUUUGAGCUAAUACCGGAUGAUGACGUAAGUCCAAAGAUUUAUCGCCUGAGGAUGAGCCCGCGUAGGAUUAGGUAGUUGGUGAGGUAAAGGCUCACCAAGCCGACGAUCCUUAGCUGGUCUGAGAGGAUGAUCAGCCACACUGGGACUGAGACACGGCCCAGACUCUGACGGGAGGCAGCAGUGGGGAAUAUUGGACAACGGGCGAAAGCCUGAUACAGCAAUGCCGGGUGAGUGAUGAAGGCCUUAGGGUUGUAAAGCUCGUUUACCCGGGAUGAUAAUGACAGUACCGGGAGAAUAAGCUCCGGCUAACUCCGUG